RNAcentral lists this ribosomal RNA (797 nucleotides) under uncultured bacterium. RNAcentral's name for it is "bacterial SSU rRNA". It matches the Rfam family "Bacterial small subunit ribosomal RNA", at positions 105 to 895 of the family's 1533-position model. The record is from RNAcentral.
GGUGAGUAAUGCGUCGGAACGUACUGAGUAAUGGGGGAUAACGCAGCGAAAGUUGUGCUAAUACCGCAUACGCCCUGAGGGGGAAAGUGGGGGACCGCAAGGCCUCACGUUAUUCGAGCGGCCGACGUCUGAUUAGCUAGUUGGUGAGGUAAUGGCUCACCAAGGCGACGAUCAGUAGCGGGUCUGAGAGGAUGAUCCGCCACACUGGGACUGAGACACGGCCCAGACUCCUACGGGAGGCAGCAGUGGGGAAUUUUGGACAAUGGGGGCAACCCUGAUCCAGCCAUUCCGCGUGAGUGAAGAAGGCCUUCGGGUUGUAAAGCUCUUUCAGCCGGAACGAAACGGUACGCGCUAACAUCGUGUGCUAAUGACGGUACCGGCAGAAGAAGCACCGGCUAACUACGUGCCAGCAGCCGCGGUAAUACGUAGGGUGCGAGCGUUAAUCGGAAUUACUGGGCGUGAAGCGUGCGCAGGCGGAUUGUUAAGCAAGAUGUGAAAUCCCCGCGCUUAACCUGGGAAUGGCAUUUUGAACUGGCAGUCUAGAGUGUGUCAGAGGGGGGUGGAAUUCCACGUGUAGCAGUGAAAUGUGUAGAGAUGUGUAGGAACACCGAUGGCGAAGGCAGCCUCCUGGGAUAACACUGACGCUCAUGUACGGAAGCGUGGGUUGCAAACAGGAUUAGAUACCCUGGUAGUCCACGCCCUAAACGAUGUCAACUGGUUGUUGGCGGGAGUGAAAUCCCCUCAGUAACGAAGCUGACGCGUGACGUUGACCGCUUGGGGAGUACGGUCGCAAGAUU